UACAGAGGGUGCAAGCGUUAAUCGGAAUUACUGGGCGUAAAGCGCUCGUAGGCGGGUGCCUAAGUCGAUUGUGAAAGCCCUGGGCUUAACCUGGGAACUGCAGUCGAUACUGGGUAUCUAGAGUAUGAUAGAGGAUAGUGGAAUUCCCGGUGUAGCAGUGAAAUGCGUAGAUAUCGGGAGGAACACCAGUGGCGAAGGCGACUUUCUGGAUCG
This 213-nucleotide ribosomal RNA is filed under the name uncultured bacterium. Its description in RNAcentral is "partial 16S ribosomal RNA". It matches the Rfam family "Bacterial small subunit ribosomal RNA", at positions 524 to 736 of the family's 1533-position model. The record is from RNAcentral.